AUCGAACAUUUUUUUAUUAUUUUUUUUACGUACAACACAUUUACUCUUUUUUUUUUAUUCAUUUUCGUAUUUUUUAGUACUUUAAGAAUCUAUUUUUUUCGAUUAUUUUCUACGUGAUAUUGAAAAUUAUGAAUUUAAAAAAAAAAUCGGUCUCAGUCAUGUAUAGACAUCCAUAGGAAACUAUAGGAAACUGUAGUAAUCUGUAGUAACCUGUAGUAAACCAUAGACAUCUAUGAUAGCAUAUUCUUGAAACCCUAAUUUCUCCUUUUAACCAUAGCCGCCAGACCCAUAGUAACCCAUAGACAUCAAAUCGAAAUUUUUUUGAUUCAUCCCACCAAACCCCAGAUCCACCCACCAAACCCUAGAUCCGUGACGCCGAAAGCCACCCACCAUCCACGUCUCUAAGGAUACCACCGGCCACCCACCCAUGCUGCCAUCACAUAUCCGCACAUCACCACACCACCAACACCAUUCUCGAACUUGGGGCGCCAGCGUCACCCUCGAAGCCGCCUCCGCUACGCAUUCCAUUGUCGCUUCAGAUCCACCGCCUCCACCAUAGAUCCGACGCGCCACCGCUACCCACUUCGUCGGCGCCUUCACCAUAGAUUCACCGCAACCGCAGCCACCGCCUUAAUAUUCAGAUCUGCCCACUCCGCCGCCGCCUUCUCGUCGGUCGCCACCCCAUUUGCUUCUCCAAUCAAAAAACUAGUUCAGAGGGAUAGAGAAAGGGAGAGAAAAAGAGAAAAGGAGAAAAAGAGAAAAAGAGAAAAAAAAAUGAGAGACAGAGAGAGAAAGAAAGAAAGCGAUGGAGAGAGCGGGAGAGAAAAUGAGAAAAAGGA
RNAcentral lists this long non-coding RNA (839 nucleotides) under Erythranthe guttata (spotted monkey flower). RNAcentral describes it as "long non-coding RNA (EGUT_LNC002721)". The record is from RNAcentral. Lineage: Eukaryota; Viridiplantae; Streptophyta; Magnoliopsida; Lamiales; Phrymaceae.